Molecule: ribosomal RNA, 391 nt
Filed under: Candidatus Aceula meridiana
Lineage: Bacteria; Pseudomonadati; Candidatus Omnitrophota
Description: partial 23S ribosomal RNA
Rfam family: Bacterial large subunit ribosomal RNA
Source: RNAcentral
UUAUCGUAUCCUGGGGCUGUACAAGGUCCCAAGGGUCCGGCUGUUCGCCGGUUAAAACGGUACACGAGCUGGGUUUAGAACGUCGUGAGACAGUUCGGUCUCUAUCUGGUGUGGGCGCACGAUACUUGAAGAGGAUCUCUCCCUAGUACGAGAGGACCAGGAGAGACGGACCUCUGGUGUUCCAGUUAUCCUGCCAAGGGUAAUAGCUGGGUAGCCACGUCCGGAAAGGAUAAGCACUGAAAGCAUAUAAGUGCGAAGCCCCCCUCAAGAUAAGGUAUCGUUUUCCUUCGGGAAUGAAGACACCUUGUAGACAACAAGGUUGAUAGGCUGCAUGUGUAAGACCUGUGAGGGUUUUAGCUAAGCAGUACUAAUCUGUCAAAUGCUUGACCUU